AUUGAACGCUGGCGGUAUGCUUAACACAUGCAAGUCGAACGGUAACAGGCCUUCGGGCGCUGACGAGUGGCGGACGGUGAGUAACGCGUAGGAAUCUGCCUCAUAGUGGGGGACAACGUGGGGAAACUCACGCUAAUACCGCAUACGCCCUACGGGGAAAGCGGGGAUCUUCGGACCUCGCGCUAUGAGAUGAGCCUGCGUUAGAUUAGCUAGUUGGUAGGGUAAAGGCCUACCAAGGCGACGAUCUAUAGCUGGUCUGAGAGGACGAUCAGCCACACUGGGACUGAGACACGGCCCAGACUCCUACGGGAGGCAGCAGUGGGGAAUAUUGGACAAUGGGCGCAAGCCUGAUCCAGCAAUACCGCGUGUGUGAAGAAGGCCUUAGGGUUGUAAAGCACUUUCAAUUGGGAGGAAAACCUGCCGGUCAAUACCCGGUAGCUUGACAUUACCUUUAGAAGAAGCACCGGCUAACUCCGUGCCAGCAGCCGCGGUAAU
RNAcentral lists this ribosomal RNA (495 nucleotides) under uncultured bacterium. RNAcentral describes it as "bacterial SSU rRNA". It matches the Rfam family "Bacterial small subunit ribosomal RNA", at positions 30 to 524 of the family's 1533-position model. The record is from RNAcentral.